AUUAGAGUUUGAUCCUGGCUCAGGAUGAACGCUAGCGGGAGGCCUAACACAUGCAAGCCGAGCGGUAGAUUGUCUUCGGACAGUUGAGAGCGGCGUACGGGUGCGUAACACGUGUGCAACCUACCUUUAUCAGGAGAAUAGCCUUUCGAAAGGAAGAUUAAUACUCCAUAAUAUAUUUGAUGGCAUCAUUAGAUAUUGAAAACUCCGGUGGAUAGAGAUGGGCACGCGCAAGAUUAGAUAGUUGGUGAGGUAACGGCUCACCAAGUCAAUGAUCUUUAGGGGUCCUGAGAGGGAGAUCCCCCACACUGGUACUGAGACACGGACCAGACUCCUACGGGAGGCAGCAGUGAGGAAUAUUGGACAAUGGGUGAGAGCCUGAUCCAGCCAUCCCGCGUGAAGGAUGACGGUCCUACGGAUUGUAAACUUCUUUUGUACAGGAAUAAACCUAGAUACGUGUAUCUAGCUGAAGGUACUGUACGAAUAAGCACCGGCUAACUCCGUGCCAGCAGCCGCGGUAAUAAU
This 522-nucleotide ribosomal RNA is filed under the name uncultured Flavobacteriia bacterium. Its description in RNAcentral is "bacterial SSU rRNA". It matches the Rfam family "Bacterial small subunit ribosomal RNA", at positions 1 to 526 of the family's 1533-position model. The record is from RNAcentral. Lineage: Bacteria; Pseudomonadati; Bacteroidota; Flavobacteriia.